AAUCAACGCUGGCGGCGUGCCUCAGACAUGCAAGUCGAACGAGAAAGUUCCCUUCGGGGAAUGAGUAAAGUGGCGCACGGGUGAGUAACACGUAGGUAAUCUACCUUCGGGUGGGGAAUAACCCAGGGAAACUUGGGCUAACACCGCAUAAUGCAGCGGCACCACAUGGUGACAGUUGUUAAAGCGGGGGAUUUUAGGACCUCGCGCCUGAAGAGGAGCCUGCGGCGGAUUAGCNGUUGGUAAGGUAACGGCUUACCAAGGCGACGAUCCGUAGCCGGCCUGAGAGGGCGGUCGGCCACACUGACACUGACAUACGGGUCAGACUCCUACGGGAGGCAGCAGUCGGGAAUUUGGGCAAUGGGCGCAAGCCUGACCCAGCAACGCCGCGUGAAGGAUGAAAUCCCUCGGGAU
Molecule: ribosomal RNA, 411 nt
Filed under: uncultured bacterium
Lineage: Bacteria
Description: bacterial SSU rRNA
Rfam family: Bacterial small subunit ribosomal RNA
Source: RNAcentral